CUGCUGCCUUCCGUAGGAGUCUGGGCCGUGUCUCAGUCCCAAUGUGGCCGAUCAACCUCUCAGUCCGGCUACCGAUCGUCGCCUUGGUGGGCCGUUGCCCCACCAACUAGCUAAUCGGCCGCGAGCCCAUCUUCCAGCGGAUUGCUCCUUUGGCUGCAUCGGGAUGCCCCAUCGCAGCGUUAUGCGGUAUUAGCAGUCGUUUCCAACUGUUAUCCCCCUCUGAAAGGCAGGUUGCUCACGUG
Molecule: ribosomal RNA, 242 nt
Filed under: uncultured bacterium
Lineage: Bacteria
Description: partial 16S ribosomal RNA
Source: RNAcentral